GGAAAUCGUAGUUCAACUCUGUUGCAUCAGUCAUGUUCUUUUCUGCAGCUGCUAGAACUUGCCUUGCUGUCUUAGCUUGGUUUUCAAUGUUAGGGUUGGUCUCAAGCAGCCUCCUGGCAAAGUUUGCAGCGGUGGCGAGGUUCUUGGCCUUGUAGCAGACAGUCAUUGCAUUCAGCAAAGCAAGCCGCAAGUGAGGUGUCUGAAGAUUGCAGUGGGUGAAAUAUGCUGCAAGCUCUUGCUGGCGGGCUGGGUCGUCCUUAAUUUCCCUUCUUUUCAG
Molecule: long non-coding RNA, 277 nt
Filed under: Lotus japonicus
Lineage: Eukaryota; Viridiplantae; Streptophyta; Magnoliopsida; Fabales; Fabaceae
Description: long non-coding RNA (LJAP_LNC001717)
Source: RNAcentral